RNAcentral lists this ribosomal RNA (158 nucleotides) under Sydowiella stellatifolii. Its description in RNAcentral is "5.8S ribosomal RNA". It matches the Rfam family "5.8S ribosomal RNA". From Rfam's summary of the family: 5.8S ribosomal RNA (5.8S rRNA) is a component of the large subunit of the eukaryotic ribosome. It is transcribed by RNA polymerase I as part of the 45S precursor that also contains 18S and 28S rRNA. The record is from RNAcentral. Lineage: Eukaryota; Fungi; Ascomycota; Sordariomycetes; Diaporthales; Sydowiellaceae.
AAACUUUCAACAACGGAUCUCUUGGUUCUGGCAUCGAUGAAGAACGCAGCGAAAUGCGAUAAGUAAUGUGAAUUGCAGAAUUCAGUGAACCAUCGAAUCUUUGAACGCACAUUGCGCCCGGUAGCAUUCUACCGGGCAUGCCUGUUCGAGCGUCAUUU